This 427-nucleotide ribosomal RNA is filed under the name uncultured bacterium. RNAcentral describes it as "partial 16S ribosomal RNA". It matches the Rfam family "Bacterial small subunit ribosomal RNA", at positions 354 to 796 of the family's 1533-position model. The record is from RNAcentral.
GUGGGGAAUAUUGCGCAAUGGGGGAAACCCUGACGCAGCAACGCCGCGUGAAGGAUGAAGGUUUUCGGAUUGUAAACUUCUUUGACGAGGGACGAAUAAAUGACGGUACCUCGAAAACAAGCCACGGCUAACUACGUGCCAGCAGCCGCGGUAAUACGUAGGGGGCGAGCGUUGCUCGGAUUGACUGGGCGUAAAGCGCGCGUAGGCGGUCCAUUAAGUGUGCGGUGAAAUUCGGAGGCUCAACCUCCGUCCCGCCGCGCAAACUGAUGGGCUUGAGAUUGGGAGGGGGAUGCGGAAUGCCUGGUGUAGCGGUGAAAUGCAUUGAUAUCAGGAGGAACACCGGCGGCGAAAGCGGCAUCCUGGCUUAUAUCUGACGCUGAGGCGCGAAAGCGUGGGUAGCAAACGGGAUUAGAAACCCUUGUAGUCC